RNAcentral lists this transfer RNA (77 nucleotides) under Methylorubrum extorquens CM4. Its description in RNAcentral is "tRNA-Gly". Lineage: Bacteria; Pseudomonadati; Pseudomonadota; Alphaproteobacteria; Hyphomicrobiales; Methylobacteriaceae. The record is from RNAcentral.
CCCGGCGCCCGCGAAUCUGUUGUUCGGUCAGCUUCCCAAGCUGAAUGUCGUCGGUUCGAUCCCGAUCGCCCGCUCCA